Molecule: ribosomal RNA, 521 nt
Filed under: uncultured bacterium
Lineage: Bacteria
Description: bacterial SSU rRNA
Rfam family: Bacterial small subunit ribosomal RNA
Source: RNAcentral
CGAGUUUGAUCCUGGCUCAGAUUGAACGCUGGCGGCAUGCUUUACACAUGCAAGUCGAACGGCAGCGCGGGGCAACCUGGCGGCGAGUGGCGAACGGGUGAGUAAUAUAUCGGAACGUACCCAGAAGUGGGGGAUAACGUAGCGAAAGUUACGCUAAUACCGCAUACGAUCUACGGAUGAAAGUGGGGGACCUUCGGGCCUCAUGCUUGUGGAGCGGCCGAUAUCUGAUUAGCUAGUUGGUGAGGUAAAGGCUCACCAAGGCGACGAUCAGUAGCUGGUCUGAGAGGACGACCAGCCACACUGGGACUGAGACACGGCCCAGACUCCUACGAGAGGCAGCAGUGGGGAAUUUUGGACAAUGGGCGCAAGCCUGAUCCAGCAAUGCCGCGUGAGUGAAGAAGGCCUUCGGGUUGUAAAGCUCUUUUGUCAGGGAAGAAACGGCCGAGGUUAAUACCUUUGGCUAAUGACGGUACCUGAAGAAUAAGCACCGGCUAACUACGUGCCAGCAGCCGCGGUAAUAA